RNAcentral lists this ribosomal RNA (253 nucleotides) under uncultured bacterium. RNAcentral's name for it is "partial 16S ribosomal RNA". It matches the Rfam family "Bacterial small subunit ribosomal RNA", at positions 524 to 776 of the family's 1533-position model. The record is from RNAcentral.
UACAGAGGAGCCAAGCGUUGUCCGGAUUGACUGGGCGUAAAGCGCACGCAGGCGGAUGCGCGCGUGGGGUGUGAAAUCUGGCCGCUUAACGGCCAGGCGCCAUCCCAUACGGCGCGUCUGGAGUGAUGCAGAGGUCGGUGGAAUCGCCGGUGUAGUGGUGAAAUGCGUAGAUAUCGGGAGGAACACCAGUGGCGAAGGCGGCUUUCUGGCCCGGUACUGACGCUGAGGUGCGAAAGCGUGGGGAGCAAACAGG